This 841-nucleotide long non-coding RNA is filed under the name Homo sapiens (human). RNAcentral's name for it is "non-protein coding lnc-COL8A1-3:1". Lineage: Eukaryota; Metazoa; Chordata; Mammalia; Primates; Hominidae. The record is from RNAcentral.
AGAGAAGAGUGUCCAGCUCCUCCAGAGGCUGCCCGCCCGCCGCUCCUUCCCUGCCCACCUACUAUGAGGAGCAGCUCCUCCCACCUGCCCAUAAAAGCCAAGUGCAUGUUACCAGCAGCGGAUCACAGCCCUUCCCCGAUCCUCUCCGUGGGAGCCAGCGAGCCUCUCUCCCUGAUCUUACGUGCUCAAGGGAGCUCACACGUUCACCAACUCACCCUUGAAGUCAUCUCAAGAACAAAAGACAACUGAAAGUUUCUGCAUGAUCUUAGAAAUUUGCCAAACAUAAACGUGUCAACGUGAAGUUAAGAAGUGAGACUCACCCGUCCCUGCACAGUCUAUACUAUGCCCUUUCGCAAUAGGAUCCAGUUUCACCUAUGGAAUGAGAAAGUUGGGGAAGAAGUCAUCUAGCGUCUUGCUACUCAAAGUGUGGUCCAUGGACCAGCAGCAUCAGCAUCACCUGGGAUCUUCUUGGAAGAAAUGUAGAAACUCAGGCCUCACCCCAGAAUCUGCCUUUUUAUAAGACCCCCAGAUGACAAAACUGAAACGGAGAAGUCACACAGACGGUGAAUUGCAGAGCCAGGAGAACAGCCCUGGCAGCCGGCUCUGGAGGUCAUGCUAUUAACCUUUACACUCUACCCCUCCUGAAGAAAGAUGUUAAAUGCAGAGGCAAGGAAAAUUGGUGCAAAUAUCAUUGGAAUGAGAUCACUAGGGGUUGUCCUAAUAGGGAGAAGAAACAUCAUUUUUCCUCAUUCUAUUGUCAUUAUUUCACAGACCAUGUUGCACUUUGUAGAAAAUAAGUCAGAAAUACUUGACUGUGUCACAUUGUUCAAAAGGAGAAAGU